Prunus persica (peach) is the source of this 1032-nucleotide long non-coding RNA. RefSeq lists it as uncharacterized. The transcript has 2 exons. The record is from RefSeq and is a predicted model, not a curated record. Lineage: Eukaryota; Viridiplantae; Streptophyta; Magnoliopsida; Rosales; Rosaceae.
UCAAUUCGGAGUUAAAAGAAGAAGUUAUAAUCUACAGAAGUGCAGUGGCACAAUCGUAAUUUUUGCAAAGUCAAAAUUUUAAAAGCUGGUAGCUCUCUCUCUCGCUCCUUGUGACGCCGAACUUUGGCCGGUGAUUGCGUCGCCAUCCGGGGACCAUUUGCAGUGAAAUUGGUCCCAAAAGUUUUGUAUCAACGUCCUCUAUCUAACCUACCCAUUUUCCAUGCUAAAAAACCAAGGAAUUUAGGUUGGAACAGCUGGAAGUGUCGGUGAUUUUUGAAGCUUUUGACGCUACUUUCGGCGACUCCAGCCACCGUUUCCAUCAAUCGAGUUUGAAGAGUAAAGACGGAAAAGGAAGCAAAAUGAGCAAUUUUGGGAUUGAAAUAUAAUGUGAAAUCCUUGGAGCAGAAUUUCCUGUGCAGAUCAGUCAACUUGACAGAAUAUACUAUACUUCCUUAGAGUGAACUAGAUUUUGAGCCUUAUAUCGUUGGAAGGAUAAGGAUGUUAGAUUUUUGUAGAAUUUUAUGGUUCGUGAUUCAGACGUGUUUGGAGAGAGUAGUGGCCAUUUUAGUACAGACAGUUAGGACAGAAUGUGUUCUGCGGGUUUUGCAAAAUAAUCCUUUUGAAGUCCAAUUUCUGUCAAUUGCAUAUGGGAAGCGUAUAUAAGGAUGUGGAGUUAUCUUCUAAGGUCUGAUCCUAUAUUUAGUAGGAUUUUGGAUGCCAACUCGUCAAAGACAAUUGAAGCCAAACUAGGAAAGCAUAGUUACCAAGUCAAAAGAGGAUUUGUUCCUUAUUUAAUGAAGAACAGAAAAUAGGGUUCUCUUAUGCUGGACUUGAAGGAGAGUCAAAGACCCACUGCGAUCGUCAAGUUCUUAAGCAUCGUCAAAUCCAUAAGUUUUAUUUUAUGUUUUCUAGUUUUUCAAUUAUGUUUUCUUUGAACAUGAGUAACUAAAUUAUGCUCUAGGGUGAGGAUGACGCCCGAGCAUUGAUAGUUAUAAUUUCUAAUAUUAUUUAAUGGAUUCUAAGUUUCUUUUA